UGUGCGUAGUUUUUCCAAUUAACUAUUAGUACGGUAAAAACUAGGAAAUAAGUUGAGUUCGAAAAUAUUGUCAGAUAAAAUAGUUGUAACUGGAAUUCAUGAUGGUUAUUUUUGUUUUCGCAUGUAUAGUUGAAAUGUUCUUGUUUCAAGGAGUUUUCUCGAAAUCGAUACAAAAUAUAACCCAAUAUGAAAACAAAAUAGAUGCUUUAGAAAAAUCUAUGGAACUUCUGGAGACACGUUUAAACAACUUAACUGGAAUUGUGUACAAUGUGACCAAACGUCAAGGCAAGGGGAAAAAACAUCAGCUUUUUUAUGUCGAAUUGAACACUAAUACAGUAUUAAAUGUCAAUUCUAUUGUGAAAUUUAACGACGAAAAGAUUGACGAAGGAAAUAACUUUAAUACAGGUGAUGGAAUCUUUGUUGCACCAGUCUCUGGGAUUUAUUUAUUUACGUGGACUAUGCAAACUUACAGUGGUAAAAAUGUUAAUACUGAAUUAAGGGUGCAAAAUUCUGUUAAAGGAAGACAACACACAAAUUUAGGAUCGUCAGUUGGAAACUUUGCAACAACAAGAAAUGUACUUUGUAUUGUGAGCAAGGAUGACCAUGUUUGGAUUCAAACUAGCCGUUACUAUUCAGAAAACACUUUAGAUAUAUCAAAUGAAUCAAAGUGCUCGUUUAUGGGAAUAUUGAUUCAUGAAAUUUGAAAAAAAAUGAAUUCAUAGUCAUGUUAUUUCUUUUAUGCAGCCAAUAUAUCGAAUUACAAAAGAGACUAUUGACAGUUUCAAUACAUUGUUUUGAUCUUUCGUUGUAAGCUAUAUGAGAAGUUUUACGUUUGUACACACGGAUAUUAUACCUUUACAUACUGCAAGUUUCCAGAUAAAGGAGAGGACCGGUUUGACCAAAAACCUAGUUGUUGAAAUUGUUAAGAGAAAACAUAACAUCAAGGAUCACCUCGAAUACUUUGUAAAUUGAUGUAUGGAUUAAAAACUUAAGAUUCUAUGUCAGUUCAUGUUUUUCAAGAUUUGAUUUAUUAAAGAAGCAAAGGUUUUUUUUAA
Long non-coding RNA from Mytilus californianus (California mussel), 1055 nucleotides. RefSeq lists it as uncharacterized. The record is from RefSeq and is a predicted model, not a curated record. The transcript is spliced from 2 exons. Lineage: Eukaryota; Metazoa; Mollusca; Bivalvia; Mytilida; Mytilidae.